AAUCGACGCCGCACGCACGUACCGGGAGCAUUUAAAUAAUUUUUUCUGUGGAUUAAUUUAAACUAAAAAGGAUUUAACACAAUGACUGAACGCGAGAACAAUGUCUACAAGGCAAAAUUGGCCGAACAGGCUGAACGAUACGAUGAAAUGGUUGAGGCCAUGAAGAAGGUCGCCUCCAUGGACGUUGAGCUGACCGUUGAGGAGCGUAAUUUGCUCUCGGUUGCCUAUAAGAAUGUCAUUGGUGCACGACGUGCGUCAUGGCGUAUUAUCACCUCGAUUGAACAGAAAGAGGAGAACAAAGGCGCCGAAGAGAAACUGGAGAUGAUCAAAACCUAUCGCGGUCAAGUUGAGAAGGAGCUGCGCGACAUUUGCUCGGAUAUAUUGAAUGUGCUAGAGAAACAUCUCAUUCCAUGCGCCACCUCUGGCGAAAGCAAAGUAUUCUACUAUAAGAUGAAGGGUGAUUAUCAUCGUUAUUUGGCUGAAUUUGCCACCGGUUCGGAUCGCAAGGACGCCGCAGAGAAUUCAUUGAUUGCCUAUAAGGCAGCAAGUGAUAUUGCCAUGAACGAUCUGCCACCAACACACCCAAUUCGUUUGGGUUUGGCAUUGAAUUUCUCGGUAUUCUACUAUGAGAUACUCAAUUCGCCGGAUCGCGCUUGCCGCUUGGCGAAAGCCGCAUUCGAUGAUGCCAUUGCUGAGUUGGAUACGCUGAGCGAAGAGAGCUACAAAGACUCGACACUUAUUAUGCAGCUGCUGCGAGACAACCUCACAUUAUGGACGUCCGAUAUGCAGGCAGAUGUGGAACCCCAACCAGGUGAUGGCGAGCAGAAAGAGCAAAUUCAGGAUGUUGAGGAUCAGGAUGUGUCGUAAUUUAAGUAAACCCCCGCCCUUCCAUUUAAACACAUUAUAUACCUUCUAAAAGUAACAACAACCACUCACACAGAAUUCAACCCAACCACACCAUACCAGAGACAGACCCCGCAUCCAUACCCCCAAACCAAAAUCAAACGCAUUGCGACAGUAUUGGGCAACGGCAUUGCAACAGAAGCAGCAGCGACAACAACAACAAUCAGAGAACAGCAAUCAAGAAAGAAUAAGUAACGGCACAAAACAACAUCAAAUAGCAACAACUGCAUGUGGGCGUAGCUGCGACGCCUGAGAGAAAGAUUUGGGAGAGAGUUGUGUUGUGUUUUAUCUCUCUCUUCAUCGAGCGAAUUUGGCCGGCGGCCCUUCUCUGUGUAACCAACAACAUCCAUAAGAACAUUUACAAUACCAGCAGCAGCAAAUUCUACUACAUUUGAAAUUUUUGCAUUCGAGAAAAAGCAUUAUAUAUUAUGUAUAAAUAAAUAUUAUAUUUAAUUACGAGAAGCAAAAACACAAAUAAAAAUUCAUUUAAACAAACAAAAUUAAUGAAAACAACAACAAAAACAACAAAAUGGCGCCUCUUCUAUUCAUCAAGAGAGUUGGCAAGAAUAAAAAUUACAAUUAAUUUUAGACGUACGUACAGCAGCAUGAAAUUCACCAUACAACACACACACAUACACAGUAAUAAUACAACUUUAAUUUUAAGCAGAAAUUCAAAUAAAAGUAACGUUUAUAAACAAAUUCAAUAUAUAUUGAUUAUAAACAGAAAAAGAAAAAAUGGAAGAACAAUUAAUAAACGCAACUGCAACUUAAAAAGAAUGAAGAAAGAAGUGUAAGCAAAAAAGAAAUAACUCGAAAACCGCAAAUAAUUUAAAUUUAAAAAUAAAAUAAAACCGAAAUGUGAGAAAACGAAAUGAGCAAAAAAUAAAAAGUGAAGCUAAACUAAAGAGAAUGUUAAAGCAAAUAAAAGCAAAAUAAAUGGCAUAGCGCAGGCGAGGGAAACGAAUUCUUAAGCUUAAAUUGUAAGUGUAUUGUUUCACACACUCACAGACAUCCGUACACAUACACAAGCACAAUUACACUGCAAUUAAAACAAAAGCAGCAGCAGCAAUCA
Molecule: RNA transcript, 1975 nt
Organism: Scaptodrosophila lebanonensis
Lineage: Eukaryota; Metazoa; Arthropoda; Insecta; Diptera; Drosophilidae
Gene: 14-3-3epsilon
Gene name: 14-3-3 protein epsilon
Exons: 5
Source: RefSeq, a predicted model, not a curated record